GACGAAAGUCUGACGGAGCAACGCCGCGUGAGUGAAGAAGGUUUUCGGAUCGUAAAGCUCUGUCUUCAGGGACGAAUGUGCUUAAUGUGAAUAAUGUUAAGUAAUGACGGUGCCUGAGGAGGAAGCCACGGCUAACUACGUGCCAGCAGCCGCGGUAAUACGUAGGUGGCAAGCGUUGUCCGGAAUUAUUGGGCGUAAAGCGCGCGCAGGCGGGAAUGUAAGUCUGUCUUAAAAGUUCGGGGCUCAACCCCGUGAUGGGAUGGAAACUACAUUUCUUGAGUGCAGGAGAGGAAAGUGGAAUUCCUAGUGUAGCGGUGAAAUGCGUAGAUAUUAGGAGGAACACCAGUGGCGAAGGCGACUUUCUGGACUGUGUCUGACGCUGAGGCGCGAAAGCCAGGGGAGUGAACGGGAUUAGAUACCCCGGUAAUCCUGGCCGUAAACGAUGGGUACUAGGUGUAGGAGGUAUCGACCCCUUCUGUGCCGGAGUUAACGCAAUAAGUACCCCGCCUGGGGAGUAC
RNAcentral lists this ribosomal RNA (518 nucleotides) under uncultured bacterium. RNAcentral describes it as "bacterial SSU rRNA". It matches the Rfam family "Bacterial small subunit ribosomal RNA", at positions 374 to 883 of the family's 1533-position model. The record is from RNAcentral.